AUGGACGACAUAUUUAAUAAAAACAAAAUUUGUAUUUUCGAAACAAACCAGAAAGCGUUUGAGUUAUGGAAAAAAUUUGUACUUGAAAAAUUAUCACAAAUAUAUAAUGAAAAAGAACAAGAAGAAAUAAAAAAUGAUAAUACAAAUGAUACAGAUUCGAGUAUUACUAACAUUAAUAUCCAUGAUAACAAUACUAAUACGUAUGAUGACAUCUGUGAUAUUUCCCACAACAACACUCAUAGUGAUGUUUACGACGUAAAAUCGAAAUCGUUAAAAAUUUUUGACAAACAAAUAAAAGAAUGGAUUGACUACUUUGGUAAUGAUAGUGAUAACCAACUAGCAGAAAAAGACGUUGAUAACGAUAGUGAUAGUGCAACUAAUAGUAAUGUUGAGCAAUCUACAAGAACAACAACAACUGAGAAAAAAAAAACAAAUACAUUUAUUUCAGUAAAAGAAAAAUUCAUAAAUAAAUAUAAAAGCUAUUUAGAAAAAUGUAAAAAUUAUUUAAAUCAACAUGAACACUAUAUAAAUGGAUUAAAUAAAUAUAAUGAACAAUAUAUGAACGAAAUAAAGAAAGAAAAAGAAACGUGUAUUAUAAUGUAUGAAAAUUAUUUACAUAGAAAUGUUAAUAUUGUAAAUAAUCAUAAUAAUGAGUUUUUAAGAUAUAUAUAUUCAAUUAUAUGUUUAAUUAAAGAAAAUAAAAUAAUAAUUCCAAAAGGUGAUUACCUAUACGAAUUAAUAUACCCACAGACAAAUUAUAACUUUCCUGUUAUAAAUAAAAUGAAUUAUUAUUUGGUAAAACUGUACAUAAAUAAUAAAUGGGUUUUAAUAUUUGUAGAUUUAAAAUUACCUUUUAAUAAUAAAAAAGAAAAUUUAUAUUGUCAUUCUGUAAAUGAAAACGAAAUAUGGAUUUAUAUUAUUAUGAAUGCGUUAUAUAAAGUUUUUCAUAUUUUUUAUUUUUCAAAUUAUUAUUAUUUUAUUUUUGAAUUAUUAACAGGAUUAAAAUAUAUACAUUUACCACGCCCUUACAGUUUUAAUAAUAUUGUUUAUAAUUAUGAACAAAAUUAUAUUCAGUGUAUUAUGUUAUGUCAAUGUUUUGAGGAUAAGACAAAUACAAACGAACAAAUAAUACAUAUCAAGGAAGAUACAAAUAAUGAUAUAGAACUUUAUCAAAAUGUUGAAUAUGUAUGUAGUAUACAUGACCACCGUUUGAAUAAACUUAAAGACAAAAAACAUUUAUGUCAUAAUUUUUUUUUUUAA
RNAcentral lists this long non-coding RNA (1260 nucleotides) under Piliocolobus tephrosceles (Ugandan red Colobus). RNAcentral describes it as "lncRNA (ENSPTEG00000017813.1)". Lineage: Eukaryota; Metazoa; Chordata; Mammalia; Primates; Cercopithecidae. The record is from RNAcentral.